CAGAGAUGCGUGCCUAAUUCUACGUUAAAAUUGCUCAAAUCGUCGGUAAAGUAAUCACAGGCGUCGAAGGCUAAUUCCGGGGAUGUGUUGUGUCGUUUGAGUUUCCUCGACAUUGUUAUGAACUCCACAUGUCACCACAUUUACCCCCUCCGAACAGCUGUUGGUCGCACUAAGGGUGGCUCGGAGAAAAUCAAUAAGACUGCAAACCGUAACAAGGACGCAACAGUGUAACAAAAUCUACGCCCCAAUCAAUUGAAUCUUUGCGGUUGUUGUAAACCGGAUUGGAAAAUAAACUCUCCUAUUACUUACGAUUACAGAAUGAAUAGUGUCGCCCGCUAAUUUCCUGUGUUGAACCAGCCCGUGAAAUUGAACUUCCUAUGUAUUAAUAAAAUGAUUAAAAUUGUCAAGAUUAA
This is a long non-coding RNA of Tribolium castaneum (red flour beetle), 413 nucleotides long. RefSeq lists it as uncharacterized. The record is from RefSeq and is a predicted model, not a curated record. NCBI's taxonomy places the organism in Eukaryota, Metazoa, Arthropoda, Insecta, Coleoptera, Tenebrionidae. The transcript is spliced from 2 exons.